AAGCGUCGACGGGUAGCCGGCCUGAGAGGGUGACCGGCCACACUGGGACUGAGACACGGCCCAGACUCCUACGGGAGGCAGCAGUGGGGAAUAUUGCACAAUGGGCGCAAGCCUGAUGCAGCAACGCCGCGUGAGGGACGACGGCCUUCGGGUUGUAAACCUCUUUUAGCAGGGAAGAAGCGAAAGUGACGGUACCUGCAGAAAAAGCGCCGGCUAACUACGUGCCAGCAGCCGCGGUAAUACGUAGGGCGCAAGCGUUAUCCGGAAUUAUUGGGCGUAAAGAGCUCGUAGGCGGUUUGUCACGUCUGCUGUGAAAUCCCGAGGCUCAACCUCGGGCCUGCAGUGGGUACGGGCAGACUAGAGUGCGGUAGGGGAGAUUGGAAUUCCUGGUGUAGCGGUGGAAUGCGCAGAUAUCAGGAGGAACACCGAUGGCGAAGGCAGAUCUCUGGGCCGUAACUGACGCUGAGGAGCGAAAGGGUGGGGAGCAAACAGGCUUAGAUACCCUGGUAGUCCACCCCGUAAACGUUGGGAACUAGUUGUGGGGACCAUUCCACGGUCUCCGUGACGCAGCUAACGCAUUAAGUUCCCCGCCUGGGGAGUACGGA
RNAcentral lists this ribosomal RNA (605 nucleotides) under Microbacterium saccharophilum. Its description in RNAcentral is "bacterial SSU rRNA". It matches the Rfam family "Bacterial small subunit ribosomal RNA", at positions 271 to 886 of the family's 1533-position model. Lineage: Bacteria; Bacillati; Actinomycetota; Actinomycetes; Micrococcales; Microbacteriaceae. The record is from RNAcentral.